UACGGAGGGGGCAAGCGUUGUCCGGAUUUAUUGGGCGUAAAGAGCGUGUAGGCGGUCUGGUAGGUCCGCUGUGAAAACUCGAGGCUCAACCUCGAGACGCCGGUGGAAACCAUCAGACUAGAGUCCGGAAGAGGAGAGUGGAAUUCCUGGUGUAGCGGUGAAAUGCGCAGAUAUCAGGAAGAGCACCCGUGGCUAAGGCGGCUCUCUAGUACGGUACUGACGCUGAGACGCGAAAGCGUGGGGAGCGAACAGG
Molecule: ribosomal RNA, 253 nt
Filed under: uncultured bacterium
Lineage: Bacteria
Description: partial 16S ribosomal RNA
Rfam family: Bacterial small subunit ribosomal RNA
Source: RNAcentral